AAGGCGGCGCCGAAGACAAAAACUGAGGAUCAGGUGCGAAAGCGUGGGGAGAAAACAGGAUUAGAUACCCUGGUAGUCCACGCCGAAAACGAUGUCGACUGGAGGUUGUUCCCUUGAGGAGUGAGUUCCGGAGCUAACGCGUUAAGUCAACCGCCUGGGGAGUUCGGCCGCAAGGUUAAAACUCAAAUAAAUUGUCGGGGGCCCGCACAAGCGGUGGAGCAUGUGGUUUAAUUCGAUGCAACGCGAAGAACCUUACCUACUCUUGACAUCCAGGGAAUUUGGCAGAGAUGCUUUGGUGCCUUCGGGAACGGUGAGACAGGUGCUGCAUGGCUGUCGUCAGCUCGUGUUGUGAAAUGUUGGGUUAAGUCCCGCAACGAGCGCAACCCUUAUCCUUUGUUGCCAGCGAUUCGGUCGGGAACUCAAAGGAGACUGCCGGUGAUAAACCGGAGGAAGGUGGGGAUGACGUCAAGUCAUCAUGGCCCUUACGAGUAGGGCUACACACGUGCUACAAUGGCGCAUACAAAGAGAAGCGACCUCGCGAGAGCAAGCGGACCUCACAAAGUGCGUCGUAGUCCGGAUCGGAGUCUGCAACUCGACUCCGUGAAGUCGGAAUCGCUAGUAAUCGUGGAUCAGAAUGCCACGGUGAAUACGUUCCCGGGCCUUGUACACACCGCCCGUCACACCAUGGGAGUGGGUUGCAAAAGAAGUAGGUAGCUUAACCUUCGGGAGGGCGCUACCACUUGGAUUAGGGGGG
This 754-nucleotide ribosomal RNA is filed under the name Pantoea agglomerans. Its description in RNAcentral is "bacterial SSU rRNA". It matches the Rfam family "Bacterial small subunit ribosomal RNA", at positions 718 to 1483 of the family's 1533-position model. Lineage: Bacteria; Pseudomonadati; Pseudomonadota; Gammaproteobacteria; Enterobacterales; Erwiniaceae. The record is from RNAcentral.